GGAAGUUAUGAUCGCUGGAGUGUCUUCGUCUCGGUAGUUUUCAUGUUUUGACCGAUGGAUCGCUGGAGUGUCUUCGUCUCGGAGGACCUGGAUGUUUGAUGGAGUAACAUGGUGUUUAUUGUGGGGUGCUCAGCUUUCAGUUAGCAUCUUGCCGUGGUCUGCUUUCUUAUCAGUGAGUUGGACGUCAUGAAGAUGUUCUGUAUUGUUGGCUUACUCACUGCCGGCUCCUUACUUUGAAGUAAGACGAGUUUCGGAUCAGAUGAUGAUCUAUUCUGAUUGGAGAUAAUUCAGCUUCCCGUCCUAUGGUUAUAUGGUUUGGAGCGUAGCUUUAUCUUAUUGUUUUGAGCCUUCCGAGUUUUUGCAGUAAUGUGAUUGCAUCUGUGAUGUGAGGGAUGUUUUCUGGAUGUAGGCGGCUGUUGUUUAUUGCUGUGAUCGUUUGGAUCGUUUCCUUUGACCAUGGAUCAUGGCCUUGGGCGUACGGAAACGGAGGGCGCUUUUAUAGUGAUGUUAUUGCAUUUGUGAUGCGAGGGGUGUGUUCUGAAUGUAGGUGGUUUUUGGUCUUUGGUCUGAUCGUUUUGAUAGUUUCUUUUGACGUUUGAUGAUGGCCUUGGGCGUCCGGCAACGAAGGGUGCUAUGCAAAAUCAUGUUUAUGAUCAUUGAUGGUGUAUGGGAACCCAGGACAUGGUUUACAUUAUCUUGGGGUCCUAUAAGUCAUCAACGAUCGUAAAUUGGUGUCACUUGUUUCUUCGAUGAUUGGUUUAGUUUGUUACGGUGUGGUAAAUUUCCCGGUUUCGAUAUCUCCGCUCAAGCAUGUGACCGCGAAGGGAUGUGUUUGGAAACUUUCAUGUCAGUUUCAAGGCGAUGUAUGGGAAUCAAUUCUUAUCUUGCGGUGGAUAACUUCUCUUCGACUUAGCGAACGACUUAGCGAAGAGUUUUCUUAUUGGUGCAUCUUGCUGUGGCAAAUCUGCUCGAUUUAGUUCGUGCAGUACUUCGUAUCAGCAUUCUGUGAGAUUGGAUUCGACGGUAUGCUUGUAAUCAGCUUCUCCCGAUCUGUUUCUAAUGGUGGGAAGAGGUUCAUUGAUUUGUUUCUAUCGUGCGGCUCCAGAAAAUUUGUUCCACCCCUAUUCCG
This 1129-nucleotide non-coding RNA is filed under the name Apopellia endiviifolia. Lineage: Eukaryota; Viridiplantae; Streptophyta; Jungermanniopsida; Pelliales; Pelliaceae. The record is from RNAcentral.